GGGGCCGUGGAGUAGUCCGGCUUAUCUCACCUCCCUGUCACGGAGGAGAACGCGGGUUCAAAUCCCGUCGGUCCCGCCA
Molecule: transfer RNA, 79 nt
Filed under: Deltaproteobacteria bacterium
Lineage: Bacteria; Pseudomonadati; Myxococcota; Myxococcia
Description: tRNA-Asp
Rfam family: tRNA
About the family: Transfer RNA (tRNA) molecules are approximately 80 nucleotides in length.
Source: RNAcentral